UUCCAGUUCCUCCUCUGCCUCUCUUCCAUCUCUCUCUGUCUCUCCUUCCUCUUUCCUGUCUCUGUCCUUCCUCUUCUGUCUCUCUUCCAUUUCUCUCCCUGUGUCUCUCCUUCCUCUUUCCUGUCUCUGUCCUUCCUCUUCUGUCUCUCUUCCAUUUCUCUCCCUGUGUCUCUCCUUCCUCUUUCCUGUCUCUGUCCUUCCUCCUCUGUCUCUCUUCCAUUUCUCUCCCUGUGUCUCUCCUUCCUCUUUCCUGUCUCUGUCCUUCCUCUUCUGUCUCUCUUCCAUUUCUCUCCCUGUGUCUCUCCCUCCUCUUUCCUGUCUCUGUCCUUCCUCUUCUGUCUCUCUUCCAUUUCUCUCCCUGUGUCUCCCCCUCCUCUUUCCUGUCUGUCCUCCCUCUUCUGUCUCUCUUCCAUUUCUCUCCCUGUGUCUCU
RNAcentral lists this long non-coding RNA (431 nucleotides) under Monodelphis domestica (gray short-tailed opossum). RNAcentral describes it as "lncRNA (ENSMODG00000044578.1)". Lineage: Eukaryota; Metazoa; Chordata; Mammalia; Didelphimorphia; Didelphidae. The record is from RNAcentral.